GCCAGUAACCAGGUGUUUCUCUCUUCCAGGGCGCAUCGAGGAUAAUCAUCAGCCUUAAUAAGGAUUGAUUGUGUACUACCCAUCGUCAUCCUGAUUAGAUACCAAACAGAAGAGCUUUGGCCAUUGCACCGAGGAGGUGAACAGUUGGAUGAACGUCCCUGUUAAGGGGCACCUCUGGAAGAACCUUUAUGGGCUCCUAAUGACAUGCAGGUGGACGAUUUGCUUACGAUAAUUAAGGGCUCAAGCUUUACUCCCUGUCGCAGAACUGCAACAUCUUCAAUUACAGAAGCAGUAUCUGCCAAAGCAGUGUUUGGACGCACUCAUCAAAGCAUAUGUGUUUUGCUCUCCUCUUCCAAGCUGCUUCUGUGAGCUCACGCCAAAGUACCCAGCACUCCCUGUUGUUUGCAUGACACAUUUCUGCUCUCCCAUUUCCCUUGUUUCUACAUAUGUGAUGACCUUAGAGGUCUUUCCCAGCCUUAAUGAGUCUACGAUUAUUUUUUCCCUGCAAUCUCUCGAACCACUUUGCCCACAGAGGGAGGAGAAGAGAGGUGAUGGAGCGGGGAGGAAGGAAAAACGGCGUCUCUGUUUGGUGUUUCACCAAGCAGUUUCUAACAAGCAGUUUGGGAUGUUCCCCUCCCUCCAAACACAUCGAUCCAAUUUGAAAAUCCAGGGCUUAAAAGCACAGAUGUUUGGUGUGACACAGACACAGCAACUUCCUAGCAAGAGAGAUGGCUUUGCUGCUGGUGAGGUCCUGGGGGCUAAUCUGGGAUGAGAGGAGUUAAAGCAUCCUUAAAGCGGCUCACCCGAAACUUUCCUUCCCUCUGUGCACUAAAACAGCUUUCACAGAUGCUGCGGAUCCCUGUGGCCAUCCCUUGGUGUCCCCAGGGCUGGACCAGCAGUGGGAUGUGACCUGGCCAAUGGUUCCAUUGGAGUUGGCUGCUGGCAGUCCUUCAUGCCCAAAGAGAGCAGUGGGGAGAUGGUGGGAGUUAAUUCUGUCUGGAGUCAAAUCUGGUAGCACUCAGAAGCGCCGAGGAUGCGAGGUGGGAUGGUUUGCUUGCAGCAUGGGUGACUGCCUUAUUUUUUAACUCAUUAAUUUUAAUCUCAGCCCACGCCACCAAGGAUCACAAGUCAGGGGUGCUGCUGAUAUUCGUUGCUUGACUCUGAAUAAACAUCUGCCAUUUAUAACUGGUUCCUCCGGCUCACGUUGGAGCACUCAACACCUGAAUUGCCUCUGAGAGCAUCACAUGGAGACUGCAAGUGCUGCUCCCUUCCUGCAGCACAACAUCACACUUAGGGCAAAGUGUGCUGUAGGGACUGAACUGUGCCCACUGUCUUUGCUGCCGGUCCAGUCAGUGCAUGGCUGCUCUGGUUCGCCAUCAGCCUGCUCUCACUUCAUCUUGUGGACUGAUUUUGAAGCACUUACCUGAGCUCUCAUGCUGCAUGCUGGCAGCUCCUGCAGAGUGGUGGCUGUGAGAUGAGGCUUUGCUUGCAGCAGUGCAGCCUUUGGGCACCUUGGAUCUGAAUUCUUCUCUUGUUCAGCUCACAUGAUACUUAAUUCCUUGAGAGGGAGGAAAGGUGGCACCACCUAUACCAAAGCCUGCAAAUCUGCCUCUGCUGUAGCACAUGCUCAACAAGAUACAGAAUCAUUUGAGUUGGAAGGGACCCUUAAAGGCCAUCUGGUCCCACUCCUUGCAACAAACAGGGACACCCACAGCUCCAUCAGUGCUCACAGCCCCAUCCAGCCUGACCUUGGGUGUCUGCAGGGUUGGGGCACCCACUGCCUAUCUGGCAACCUGUGCCAGUGCUUCACUACUAUGUGUAGGACUCAAUUUUCAAUCCAUGUGCAAAAUGAUAUCUCAGAAUGACAUCUCUUGCUUCGCUCCCUCCCAGCUGAGGUACCCUUCCCUGCCUUUGGUUGUAGCACCAUUUGCAGAGCGUCUUCAAAUAAUCACUCCUCUUCCUCUGCACCUGCUCCAUACGGGCACAGGGAGGCUUGAGAUGCAGUAUAGCUUGGCAAACCAAGCAUUGAGAUAAAGAAUCUGGAAUUUAGAAUCAUAGGAUCAUCAAUGGAUAGGGUUGGGAGGGACCUUAAAGCCCAUGCAGUUCCAACCCAUGCCAAGGGCAGGGACACCUCCCAGCUGGAUCAGGCAGCCCAUGGCCCCAUCCAGCCUGGCCCUGAGCACCUCCAGGGAUGGGACAUCUUCAGUGCCAGGACCUCACUGCCCUCUGAGUAAAGAAUUUCCCCCUAACAUCUACUGUAAAUCUCUCCUCUCUUAGUUUAACACCAUUACCUCUUUUCCUAUCAUUGCAGCCUCCGUCAGUGAGUCCAUUCCCAUCUCUCCAGACUCACUCUGCCAGCCAGGAUACCAACCCAGUGCGUUGUGCGUCCUCGAUUUGGUUCAGAUUGGAGGCAGGUUUGCCCCUGGUUGUUGUUGGGCUGCGUUUUGCGAGGUCAAAAUGAGAUGAAUGUGUUUGGCUUUGCCAUCGAGCAGACAAAUACAACGCUGGGCUUCAUCAACAGGGUUUGUCUUGUGUUCACAAAGCAACAAGCAGCCACAGAGAGCCAGCUCUGUUCUAUGUGAGCUCCUGUACCAUUUUACGCCUGGCUAGGGGAAUCUCUCAUUUAAUGGCAAGACUGAGGAGCCUUCUGUGUAUUAUGCUGCUAGCAAGGGGGUGGUGGGAAGGGGUGUUUGUGUGGGAGCACUGCUUUUCAAAGCCUUUUCAAAAGGCUGAGACAGCGGACACUUUCAAAGAUGGGGAUGUCUCUGGUGCUGUCCGUGGCCAUUGUAUAGAAAUAGAAAUAACGUGGGUGGAGUUCUGUGUCAGCCCAGAUAGGUCUCAAUGAGUUAAAUUGAGCAGCGUUGCGAUGGUCCAGCUGGAAUCGUGUGUUUGCAGGGGGAAUGCUUUUAUACAAGAGUUGGGUCCUGCGGGUUUGCCUUUAUUGCUUGAUACUACAGAGUGUUUGAGUUCUCCUGUAGAUUCUUCAUGUUUGUUGGAAUAUCAGUAAAAUAGAAGUGACACGAGGUGAUAUUUAAUGCCUGGUCAGGAAGAUGGUGUUUACUGGCAAAAGGGAAUGGGCCGUAACAGCUGAGUUCCAGCAUUACCUUCUCUCUGUUCUCUCUUUCAUACGCAUCCAGGCUGCUGUCAUCAAGGAAACCUGAAAUUCUCUGCUGGUGCUUUUGCACACAAAAUGGCCAGAGAUGCUGUGAAUCCAUGGGGGAAUGAAAUAUCUCUGAUCCUGGUGCAAAUUAAACCUCUGAAGAUCUCAAAGAAACCAUUUCUUUCAGCCACCCCAUCGGUAUCAAUAGCAGCCCCUGCACCGGGCACUGGGGCACCAUUUUGGGCUGAGAAGUGCCCCAGUGAAGGAGAGGGAGAUGUUUUGUCUUGAGUGUGAUGGGAUGGGCAGUGCUGGAGGAGGGAAUAACCAAUCUGUCAAUGUGCUGGCUUUCACCCUGAGUUUUUUCCAAAGCAAAUUGGGUUGCAGGCUCAACCUCUCUCCUUUGUGUUGGGAAGGGACCUCAGGCUUCUCCUGGAGCUCCAUCUAGAGGGGAGGAAGAUGGGCCCAUCCUGGUGGCCUCCCUCGGGUGUCCUCAAGGAGCCUUCCCAUUGCUCUGGUGUUUCAUUUCUUUCCUUUGUGUUCGGGGUGGUGCUGUGUAGAGCUGGGCAUUGGAACUGUGAUCCCUGUGGGUCCCUUCCAGCUCUGUCACUGUGACUCUACAAACUCAUACAACAGAGCUGUAGUUACACCACAGACACAGUUUCUCCUGCACCAGUGAAGGGGAUUUCUCUACUGGCCUCACAGGUGCAGCCGUCCCCACUGAGGAUGUAGAAACCACACCGUGCUCUGUGGUUUCUUGUGGGUUUGAUGACAAAAGGCAAUUGGUUGUGGUUUGGGCUGGGGAUUUCCUGGCGAAACAGGUCGGAGAUGAUGUUCCUGUCAUGAUGCUCCUGCAACACAGAGAGCACUUUGCCCAUGCAAAACUAAAGGGAACGUCGUGGAGUUGUUGCACAGAACUGAGCGCACAACGCAGCCUGGCUGUCAAGGUGGAAACAAUCUCACAAAACAUUGCAGCUCCAGCUUGCCCAAUCUGCGUUCACAGGAUCAUAGGGUUGGAAAGGAUCUCAGGAGAUCGUUGAGUCCCACCCCUUGCUAAAGUGAUGUAUAAUAGGUCGGGGGGUCAGCAUCCAGCCAGGUCUUGAGUAUCUCCAUAGAAGGAGACUCCCCAACC
Meleagris gallopavo (turkey) is the source of this 4229-nucleotide non-coding RNA. NCBI's taxonomy places the organism in Eukaryota, Metazoa, Chordata, Aves, Galliformes, Phasianidae. The record is from RefSeq and is a predicted model, not a curated record.